GACGAACGCUGGCGGCGUGCUUAACACAUGCAAGUCGAACGGAAAGGCCCUGCAUUUGUGGGGUGCUCGAGUGGCGAACGGGUGAGUAACACGUGAGUAACCUGCCCUUGACUUUGGGAUAACUUCAGGAAACUGGGGCUAAUACCGGAUAGGAGCUCCUGCUGCAUGGUGGGGGUUGGAAAGUUUCGGCGGUUGGGGAUGGACUCGCGGCUUAUCAGCUUGUUGGUGGGGUAGUGGCUUACCAAGGCUUUGACGGGUAGCCGGCCUGAGAGGGUGACCGGCCACAUUGGGACUGAGAUACGGCCCAGACUCCUACGGGAGGCAGCAGUGGGGAAUAUUGCACAAUGGGCGGAAGCCUGAUGCAGCAACGCCGCGUGCGGGAUGACGGCCUUCGGGUUGUAAACCGCUUUCGCCUGUGACGAAGCGUGAGUGACGGUAAUGGGUAAAGAAGCACCGGCUAACUACGUG
RNAcentral lists this ribosomal RNA (468 nucleotides) under uncultured bacterium. Its description in RNAcentral is "partial 16S ribosomal RNA". It matches the Rfam family "Bacterial small subunit ribosomal RNA", at positions 28 to 507 of the family's 1533-position model. The record is from RNAcentral.